AUGAACGCUGGCGGCGUGCCUAAUCCAUGCAAGUCGAGCGCACGGACGAGAAGCUUGCUUCUCUGAUGUUAGCGGCGGACGGGUGAGUAACACGUGGAUAACCUACCUAUAAGACUGGGAUAACUUCGGGAAACCGGAGCUAAUACCGGAAAAUAUUUUGAACCGCAUGGUUCAAAAGUGAAAGACGGUCUUGCUGUCCCUUAUAGAUGGAUCCGCGCUGCAUUAGCUAGUUGGUAAGGUAACGGCUUACCAAGGCAACGAUGCAUAGCCGACCUGAGAGGGUGAUCGGCCACACUGGAACUGAGACACGGUCCAGACUCCUACGGGAGGCAGCAGUAGGGAAUCUUCCGCAAUGGGCGAAAGCCUGACGGAGCAACGCCGCGUGAGUGAUGAAGGUCUUCGGAUCGUAAAACUCUGUUAUUAGGGAAGAACAUAUGUGUAAGUAACUGUGCACAUCUUGACGGUACCUAAUCAGAAAGCCACGGCUAACUACGUG
RNAcentral lists this ribosomal RNA (496 nucleotides) under uncultured bacterium. RNAcentral's name for it is "partial 16S ribosomal RNA". It matches the Rfam family "Bacterial small subunit ribosomal RNA", at positions 29 to 507 of the family's 1533-position model. The record is from RNAcentral.